This 200-nucleotide ribosomal RNA is filed under the name uncultured bacterium. Its description in RNAcentral is "partial 16S ribosomal RNA". The record is from RNAcentral.
AGAGUUUGAUCCUGGCUCAGAAGGAACGCUAGCUAUAUGCUUAACACAUGCAAGUCGAACGUUGUUUUCGGGGAGCUGGGCAGAAGGAAAAGAGGCUCCUAGCUAAAGGUAGCUUGUCUCGCCUGGGUAGCCUAUGCGAAGCAAGCCCACACUGGAGGUGGGAACAGUUGAGAACAAAGUGGCGAACGGGUGCGUAACGC